RNAcentral lists this ribosomal RNA (426 nucleotides) under uncultured Oscillospiraceae bacterium. Its description in RNAcentral is "bacterial SSU rRNA". It matches the Rfam family "Bacterial small subunit ribosomal RNA", at positions 354 to 796 of the family's 1533-position model. The record is from RNAcentral. Lineage: Bacteria; Bacillati; Bacillota; Clostridia; Eubacteriales; Oscillospiraceae.
GUCGGGAAUAUUGCGCAAUGGAGGAAACUCUGACGCAGUGACGCCGCGUAUAGGAUGAAGGUUUUCGGAUUGUAAACUAUUGUCGUUAGGGAAGAUAAAAGACAGUACCUAAGGAGGAAGCUCCGGCUAACUACGUGCCAGCAGCCGCGGUAAUACGUAGGGAGCAAGCGUUAUCCGGAUUUAUUGGGUGUAAAGGGUGCGUAGACGGGAAAUUAAGUUAGUUGUGAAAUCCCUCGGCUUAACUGAGGAACUGCAACUAAAACUGGUUUUCUUGAGUGCGGGAGAGGAAAGAGGAAUUCCUAGUGUAGCGGUGAAAUGCGUAGAUAUUAGGAGGAACACCAGUGGCGAAGGCGUCUUUCUGGACCGUAACUGACGUUGAGGCACGAAAGUGUGGGGAGCAAACAGGAUUAGAAACCCCAGUAGUCC